Molecule: long non-coding RNA, 342 nt
Filed under: Durio zibethinus
Lineage: Eukaryota; Viridiplantae; Streptophyta; Magnoliopsida; Malvales; Malvaceae
Description: long non-coding RNA (DZIB_LNC000634)
Source: RNAcentral
CCACGACUUUGGAAAGUAAAUUGCUCCUCUCAACAGAGGUACCACGACUUUGAAAAAAUAAAUUGCUCCUCUAAACAGAGGCACCACUUUUGGAAAGUAAAUUGCUCCUCUCAACAGAGGUACCACGACUUUGGAAAAAUAAAUUGCUCAUCUAAACAGAGGCAACGGAACUUUGAAAAAUAAAUUGCUCCUCUAAACAGAGGCAACGAACUUUGAAAAAGUAAAUUGCUCCUCUAAACAGAGGCACCACGACUUUUGAAAAGUAAAUUGCUCCUCUAAACAGAGGCAACGAACUUUGGAAAAUAAAUUGCUCCUCUAAACAGAGGCAACAAACUUUGAAAA